RNAcentral lists this ribosomal RNA (761 nucleotides) under Prevotella melaninogenica. RNAcentral describes it as "bacterial SSU rRNA". It matches the Rfam family "Bacterial small subunit ribosomal RNA", at positions 28 to 776 of the family's 1533-position model. The record is from RNAcentral. Lineage: Bacteria; Pseudomonadati; Bacteroidota; Bacteroidia; Bacteroidales; Prevotellaceae.
GAUGAACGCUAGCUACAGGCUUAACACAUGCAAGUCGAGGGGAAACGGCAUUUAGUGCUUGCACCGAAUGGACGUCGACCGGCGCACGGGUGAGUAACGCGUAUCCAACCUUCCCAUAACUAAGGGAUAACCUGCCGAAAGGCAGACUAAUACCUUAUGUAAUCCUUUGAUGGCAUCAGAUAAGGAUAAAAGAUUUAUCGGUUAUGGAUGGGGAUGCGUCUGAUUAGCUUGUUGGCGGGGUAACGGCCCACCAAGGCAACGAUCAGUAGGGGUUCUGAGAGGAAGGUCCCCCACAUUGGAACUGAGACACGGUCCAAACUCCUACGGGAGGCAGCAGUGAGGAAUAUUGGUCAAUGGACGGAAGUCUGAACCAGCCAAGUAGCGUGCAGGAUGACGGCCCUAUGGGUUGUAAACUGCUUUUGUAUGGGGAUAAAGUCAAUCACGUGUGAUUGUUUGCAGGUACCAUACGAAUAAGGACCGGCUAAUUCCGUGCCAGCAGCCGCGGUAAUACGGAAGGUUCGGGCGUUAUCCGGAUUUAUUGGGUUUAAAGGGAGCGUAGGCCGGAGAUUAAGUGUGUUGUGAAAUGUAGACGCUCAACGUCUGACUUGCAGCGCAUACUGGUUUCCUUGAGUACGCACAACGUUGGCGGAAUUCGUCGUGUAGCGGUGAAAUGCUUAGAUAUGACGAAGAACUCCGAUUGCGAAGGCAGCUGACGGGAGCGCAACUGACGCUGAAGCUCGAAGGUGCGGGUAUCGAACAGG